This 496-nucleotide ribosomal RNA is filed under the name uncultured bacterium. RNAcentral describes it as "partial 16S ribosomal RNA". It matches the Rfam family "Bacterial small subunit ribosomal RNA", at positions 29 to 507 of the family's 1533-position model. The record is from RNAcentral.
AUGCACGCUGGCGGCGUGCCUGAUACAUGCAAGUCGAGCGAACGGACGAGAAGCUUGCUUCUCUGAUGUUAGCGGCGGACGGGUGAGUAACACGUGGAUAACCUACCUAUAAGACUGGGAUAACUUCGGGAAACCGUAGCUAAUACCGGAUAAUAUUUUGAACCGCAUGGUUCAAAAGUGAAAGACGGUCUUGCUGUCACUUAUAGAUGGAUCCGCGCUGCAUUAGCUAGUUGGUAAGGUAACGGCUUACCAAGGCAACGAUGCAUAGCCGACCUGAGAGGGUGAUCGGCCACACUGGAACUGAGACACGGUCCAGACUCCUACGGGAGGCAGCAGUAGGGAAUCUUCCGCAAUGGGCGAAAGCCUGACGGAGCAACGCCGCGCGAGUGAUGAAGGUCUUCGGAUCGUAAAACUCUGUUAUUAGGGAAGAACAUAUGUGUAAGUAACUGUGCACAUCUUGACGGUACCUAAUCAGAAAGCCACGGCUAACUACGUG